Molecule: ribosomal RNA, 1237 nt
Filed under: Colletotrichum gloeosporioides
Lineage: Eukaryota; Fungi; Ascomycota; Sordariomycetes; Glomerellales; Glomerellaceae
Description: eukaryotic LSU rRNA
Rfam family: Eukaryotic large subunit ribosomal RNA
Source: RNAcentral
UGGCCCUAGGCCCGAGUUGUAAUUUGCAGAGGAUGCUUUUGGUGCGGUGCCUUCCAAGUUCCCUAGAACGGGACGCCAGAGAGGGUGAGAGCCCCGUACAGUUGGACACCAAGCCUUUGUAAAGCUCCUUCGACGAGUCGAGUAGUUUGGGAAUGCUGCUCAAAAUGGGAGGUAUAUUUCUUCUAAAGCUAAAUACCGGCCAGAGACCGAUAGCGCACAAGUAGAGUGAUCGAAAGAUGAAAAGCACUUUGAAAAGAGGGUUAAACAGCACGUGAAAUUGUUAAAAGGGAAGCGCUUGUGACCAGACUUGCGUCCGGUGAAUCACCCAGCUCUCGCGGCUGGGGCACUUCGCCGGCUCAGGCCAGCAUCAGCUCGCUGUCGGGGACAAAAGCUUCAGGAACGUAGCUCUCUUCGGGGAGUGUUAUAGCCUGUUGCAUAAUACCCUUCGGCGGGCUGAGGUACGCGCUCCGCAAGGAUGCUGGCAUAAUGGUCAUCAGCGACCCGUCUUGAAACACGGACCAAGGAGUCAACCUUAUGUGCGAGUGUUCGGGUGUCAAACCCCCUACGCGUAAUGAAAGUGAACGCAGGUGAGAGCUUCGGCGCAUCAUCGACCGAUCCUGAUGUUCUCGGAUGGAUUUGAGUAAGAGCAUAUAGGGUUGGACCCGAAAGAAGGUGAACUAUGCGUGUAUAGGGUGAAGCCAGAGGAAACUCUGGUGGAGGCUCGCAGCGGUUCUGACGUGCAAAUCGAUCGUCAAAUAUGCGCAUGGGGGCGAAAGACUAAUCGAACCUUCUAGUAGCUGGUUUCCGCCGAAGUUUCCCUCAGGAUAGCAGUGUUGAACUCAGUUUUAUGAGGUAAAGCGAAUGAUUAGGGACUCGGGGGCGCUAUAUUGCCUUCAUCCAUUCUCAAACUUUAAAUAUGUAAGAAGCCCUUGUUACUUAAUUGAACGUGGGCAUUCGAAUGUAUCAACACUAGUGGGCCAUUUUUGGUAAGCAGAACUGGCGAUGCGGGAUGAACCGAACGCGAGGUUAAGGUGCCAGAGUAGACGCUCAUCAGACACCACAAAAGGUGUUAGUACAUCUUGACAGCAGGACGGUGGCCAUGGAAGUCGGAAUCCGCUAAGGACUGUGUAACAACUCACCUGCCGAAUGUACUAGCCCUGAAAAUGGAUGGCGCUCAAGCGUCUCACCCAUACCUCGCCCUCAGUGUAGAAACGAUGCGCUGAGGAGUAGGCGGACG